UACAGAGGGGGCAAGCGUUGUUCGGAAUUACUGGGCGUAAAGGGCGCGUAGGCGGCCUGUUAAGUCGAACGUGAAAUCCCCGGGCUCAACCCGGGAACUGCGUCCGAUACUGGCAGGCUUGAAUCCGGGAGAGGGAUGCGGAAUUCCAGGUGUAGCGGUGAAAUGCGUAGAUAUCUGGAGGAACACCGGUGGCGAAGGCGGCAUCCUGGACCGGCAUUGACGCUGAUGCGCGAAAGCCAGGGGAGCGAACGGGG
RNAcentral lists this ribosomal RNA (254 nucleotides) under uncultured bacterium. RNAcentral describes it as "partial 16S ribosomal RNA". It matches the Rfam family "Bacterial small subunit ribosomal RNA", at positions 524 to 777 of the family's 1533-position model. The record is from RNAcentral.